This is an RNA transcript of Equus caballus (horse), 937 nucleotides long. It is a transcript of the gene named FERM domain-containing protein 3, with no coding region annotated. NCBI's taxonomy places the organism in Eukaryota, Metazoa, Chordata, Mammalia, Perissodactyla, Equidae. The record is from RefSeq and is a predicted model, not a curated record.
UAUGCGCACGUCUCGCUGCGCCCAGGCUUGGGGCGCGGGGCAGCUGUCUCCUGGGAGACCCUAACACUGCUGUCCCCCACCGCGCCAGGAAAUGGGAGCUCUGAGAGCCCACAGGGGCACCUGCAUGUCACCACUAUCCUUCAUCUCUUCUACCACGUGGAGGAGGCAUGCACCAGCCUGGGUUGCCUCAUUUCUCUCUCCCGCACCUGGGCUCUGAAGGUGCCCUCAGCCCCAGGGACCCGCUCCCGCUCCCGCUCCCUGCCGCCUCCCUUCCCGUGCCCUUUCUUCGCGUGGGGCGGCGGCUACGUUUCCUGGGAGUGAGAGAGGCCAGGCUGCCCAGAGCUUCAGCCUUGAGACUCAGGAUGUCUUCAGAGAGGACCUUUCCUCCCAAGGACGCUGUUUAAAAUUGGACUCCCUCAGUGACGUGUGAAGAACAGUCAGAGAAGCUGAAAGACAUCUGACAUGUGCGUGGAGUCACUUAAUCAGGUGCAUCUCUCAAUGUGGGUACUUGGCUGCAGAAGAUGUGAUUGCCUUGCUGCUUCCUUCACAGCAAGUACCUUGUUACCUAGAGGUAGCAAAUAUGGGGUUUCAUGAUUAAUGGGAAGAUGAAUAUGAAGGUCCAGAGGUGUCCCAGAGUCUUUCUAAGACUACUGAAGAUUCCAGGUUCGGAAGGAAUAUUCCAGAUACUCCAUUGGGGGAAAAGGUGGAAAGAUAAAGAAAAGCUGGUGGAUGACGUGAGGACAGAGGAUGGGCAAAUGCAGGAAAGGAAACGAAUGCUGGCUGCGUGCGGACUUGGUGGUCAAGGCAGCACAGAGACUGACCACACACGCUGUGAUUUCUGUGACCCCAGAGGGAGGCUUACACUACUCACACUCACAGUGCUCUGACACCACAUGUUUCGGGGAGGGGGACUUCCUCAAAACAAGCAAUUCUCAGA